AAUCACUCAGCUGACGGGCAGGCUCCUUAUCGUGGAUGCAGGAGAGGGACCACCAGAAAGGCCCCACCAAAAAAAAAAGCACAUCUGGGCAGAGAGUGUCGGAACAGAAGAGCUAUGUUGUCCCUUGCACCUUGAAGUGAUGAGCAUUGGCAGAUCUCCUGAUCUCAGCCUGGGGCUGCUGACGGUUCAGGUCCAUUUCAGAGAGAGAGAGAGAGCAACAUGCAUGGGGUGAACCUCAAAAGAGAAAAUCUGUGAGUCUUAGGUUUUCCUCUGCUACUCCUCAGCCUCUCGUGCGUUCUGUUUGUUCAUCUCUCUCUCUCUCCUCUCUUGUAGCUGAGACAGGCUGUCUAGACAUUGCAGAUGUGGACAGAUGUUGGGUCUGUAAUUUAUAACAACGGCCUCCAGAAGGCAAUUCCAAUUUGUUUCGAUGUGAGCGCUCUACACUGGGCUCCUGAAACCAUGCCUGCUGCUGGUUGUCCGGCCUCCCAUCAUAGUGGACUCUUAUCCUUCUGGAACACAGGCUCAAGGGAACUCUUUGUUCUAUAAGUUGCCUUAGCUAUGGUGUUUUAUCACAGCAACAGGAAGGUAACUAAGACAGAUCGGGAACUGACCAAGUUUGCGUAAUCAUAAGGUUUUCCCAAGGUGCAACAUGUUCACAGACAGCUGUAGUAGGAGCUGGAGGGAAGGCCAGGCUGGUACUUUUGCAAUUGCUAGAGGAAGUCUUUCCUAGAGGCUGUUUUCAGUGUGGCACAGUGUAGACCUCCAGGAAAGGUAGACAUGGUGGGAACGUGCUUUGUAACCACGAGCAUCGAGCAAAGAAGCUAGAGACCUAAGUGUGCUCCACCACUGCCCAGGCAGAUUUGUAAAACCCUGAGCUCUGAGCAUCUAUCUGCUCCUUGAAGACUUUUGUGCCUGGUGCAUUCAACUCUGAUGCCUUCAGAGGUGAGUGGAUUUCCAUUCCAGAGAAUGAAAAAAAUGAGCAGAAACCCUGCUGAACCUGGGGGCCACUGAGAAGAUGCCUCAGAGCCCCGGGCCGCAGUUAAGGUGACGAGAUGCAGCAAUUCUUUAUGAACAUUUCAUUCCUGCUCGCUACACGACGUAAAUUAGAUGGUGUGUUACAUUCGGGCAAUAAGAGAGAUAUGUCACCACGACGCUGGCCCAUUGGAUGGAGAGGGGGUUUGGCGAAGAGCGGAAAGGAUUUCACCCUGAUGUGCACACUACUGAGUGACCCCGCUCACCAGCGGCUCUGCUGAUUGCUUUGCACCUUGCAGACUUCGAUACUGGCUCAGCCUCUUGCCGGCCUCGCUCCCUCCGCUCCCUCUGGGUCUCCAGCCCACCCUUCCCCUGCCUGGCUUUCUCUUGAAGCCAAAGCCAAGAGACCUAACAGAGGAGUCACAAAGGUCACGAAGGGAUGGAUGUCUCUGUGGGGAGGAGCAGGGCGGCAGAGCUAACACCAAAAUAAAACAAAAA
RNAcentral lists this long non-coding RNA (1470 nucleotides) under Mus musculus (house mouse). Its description in RNAcentral is "predicted gene 28578". The record is from RNAcentral. Lineage: Eukaryota; Metazoa; Chordata; Mammalia; Rodentia; Muridae.